RNAcentral lists this long non-coding RNA (296 nucleotides) under Elaeis guineensis (African oil palm). RNAcentral describes it as "long non-coding RNA (EGUI_LNC017470)". Lineage: Eukaryota; Viridiplantae; Streptophyta; Magnoliopsida; Arecales; Arecaceae. The record is from RNAcentral.
GGAAGUAGAAUUUUGUUAACUUUUUAUGUUUUCAUUAGAAGAUAAAUGGAAUUCCUAACAAGUAAUCACUGAUUUGUAGUCCAUAUAGCAUCUCCUCUAUCUGUCAGCUUGAGUGUGCAGAAACCAAAUCAAGGAGGAACUGAAUGGGAUCCACAAGGAAGUGCAUUACAAAACAGAACCAUAUGAUUUCUUUGAAUCAGAACAAACGGGUAAAGAAGAAGAGGAGGAGGGAGAGGGAAGAAGCUGGGAGAAAAUUGAGAUUUAAUGAAAAUACAUUGGCUAUUAGCUGAGGUGAC